Molecule: long non-coding RNA, 1433 nt
Organism: Acipenser ruthenus (sterlet)
Lineage: Eukaryota; Metazoa; Chordata; Actinopteri; Acipenseriformes; Acipenseridae
Exons: 2
Source: RefSeq, a predicted model, not a curated record
AAAGAAAAUGUGACUACUGGCUGCUCAAAAUUAAAUCUGAAUGUGCCGAGUCUCGUUCACCCCAGAAAAAGAAACACAAAUCUGGCUACGAAAAACGGAAGGAAAAGACAGCAAGAGAAGAAAAUCUGAUGAAAUUUAAAACGCAAUCGCAAAUUAAACGUUUUUUUUUUUCCAGUCUACUGGCAGUGGGACCGCUGGAAAAAAAAAAGCUACAGCAAGCGAACCACGAGGGCCUGGAGAGACUGACACGACUGAGCUUCAGAACGAACCUGAAAUUGUUUUGACAACAACUGAACAAGCGGCUGUCAAAACUCACCCUGGUGAUCCACAGUGUGGUUUUGAACUCCCCGAACCGCAGCCAGAGCUCAGUGAUAGUCCUGCGGAAUGGCCGGAGAGAAUUACGCAUUCCUUGCGAUGUCAAGCAGUUGUAAGAGCGACAUCAGGGAUCUGAUAUGUUAAACGGGGAUUUUCCAACCGCUGAACACCCUGAUGCUACUAAAGUCGAUUCUCUUCAUUUCACAAUCAGAAGAUUGGCAUUAAAACAGGGACCAAACAGAAAAAAUACAUCUAUUGUCCUGCCAGGGUUUUUAACCUUUACAAAGAUCAGGAGAUGACACAGGAAAUGACAUUGGUGUGAAUUCCAAGCAUCAAAAAGCGGAGAUGGCAGAGAGAAAAGGGAAAAUAAAAUUGGUUGGACAAAAUAGUACUAUAAAUACAGUUGUUGCUUGGACAACAUAUACAAAAUAGGACUGCAAGUGUUGCAGGUGUGCUUUAGCACCUUAUUAUUGAUUUAUUUGUAUUAUUUUUGUUCGCGUGUAUUAUUACUUGAUUUACUUUAAUCACAAUAUGAUUUUGUAUAUUCACUCUGCACUAUUAUUUAUAGAACGUCUGUGUCCAGCUGACACCCCUCCCUCUAGAGCUGUUACAGCCUGUUUGAGUCCAAACUGCUUCGGGACACUGAGAAGAGGGAUCCUGGAUAUUUGUAUUGCUUUAAACAAUUAUUAUUUUGUUCAUUCUUGCUGCUGUUGAUAUAGCUGUAUUACUUCUAUUGCUAUAGCCAUUGCUAACAUUGCUGCUAUUGAUACAGAUAUCAUUUUGAAUAAUAUUGCUAUAGUUACUGUUACCUUUGCUGCUAUUGAAUUAGACAUUACUUUUGUUGUUAAUUGCAUAUGCAAGGAUGGAAAUAUGACUUCUAAUGCAUAGCAGUUGGUCCAUUUCUGGUUUUACCAACUGCAGGCCCUUGUAGAAACUGUACUGAAGAAGCUGGGAAAAAAAAGAAGUCUGCAGGUCAGAAAACUACUGCUAUACAAUGGGAGUCUUAUUCCCCCCCUGCUUAUGUGCUUAUCCAUUUUAAUAGUGUGUUUGUGCAUAUUUAAAUUGUAUUGCUUUUAAUAGUUUUAGAAUACAUUUAAUAAACCUCCUUUUGAUAAUUA